This 298-nucleotide unclassified non-coding RNA is filed under the name Hevea brasiliensis (rubber tree). Lineage: Eukaryota; Viridiplantae; Streptophyta; Magnoliopsida; Malpighiales; Euphorbiaceae. The record is from RNAcentral.
UUCAACGCCAUUUCUUUCUCUCUCUCUCUUUCUCUAACACUUGAACAUCAACAACUACUCUCUUAAUCUCUCUCUCUCUCUCUCUACAAAUCUAUCCAUUUCUGUCUAGAUAUAAUGUUCCUCUGUUAGCAGCCCUAGCCCUGCUUCAUCUAUGCUAGGGCUGCAGGAGAAGAAGAAAAUUAAACAAAAACCCAUUAAUCAAUCAAACCCUAGACUCAUUUACUUUUAAAGGAUUAAACAGAUAAAUAUAUACCAAUGGUCUUCAAGAACAAACUCUUCUUCUCUUCUAAGAAAUCCG